This 1883-nucleotide long non-coding RNA is filed under the name Triticum aestivum (bread wheat). RNAcentral describes it as "long non-coding RNA (TAES_LNC009438)". The record is from RNAcentral. Lineage: Eukaryota; Viridiplantae; Streptophyta; Magnoliopsida; Poales; Poaceae.
AUAAAGAAAUAGUUUUAAGGGAGGACUUCAAAGAGUAUUUUGCCAAAUUUGGUAAAGUGCGGGUAAAUUGAUUUUUGGUUGUCCUUUUUCUUUACAAUUGGUCGUGGAGCUUCUUGGAUUAAACUUGUAAAGAGUAGUAUUGGAAAGCCUCAUUUUUGUAAGAUGCUCUGGUAUUUCCGAGUAGAAGAAAGCAAAGCCAACAAUGGUCGUUAGAAAUUAUUAGUACUCUACAAAAUUUGUAACACAUCAUAUUAAUUGGGAACUCAAAUCUUGGUUGCAAAAUUUAGAUCUGUGCUAUAAAUGCAGGCAAUACAAAAGGUAGGAAGACCAUACGAAGACCAAUACAAAUAGGAGGAUGCAUGAGCUUCAGAUAUGAUUGAAUUCAGUCUGAAGAUGGAGACUUGAAGGAGGAAUUAGUGGAGAAUGGGAAGGUGGAUAGAACAUGGGAACCAAUCAAAUACGUGUAGGUAUGACAUGGUGCUUUUUUUAAUCUCUUGCGGAUGUCAAUAUUUUUCUACAGUUACAUAUAUAAAACUGAAUCACAAAGGAUUUUAUUUUUGAUUAGGUACACCAUAGAAUAGUCUCACAUCUUGGUUUAUUUAUUACCCUGUUUAAAUAUCAACCAACAUGCUUGUCAAAUUUGUAAUUUAUAAUUUGUUAUUUGCUUGCCUCAAGGCAAUAUUCUCCCAAGAUAUAUAUCUCUCUGUGUGUGUGUGUGUACUUGGACAGAAACACUUCCCAUACCCGAGGUCUCAGUUAAUGUACUGCUGUUGAAUUCUUCUGUCACUUUUGAUACAAAGCUAUAGCUAUACUUUCAUUUGCCAAGAAGAUAAAAUAGGUUAAAUACUGUGAUUUAGUUACUUUCAGAUUUUGGUAUAUUUUGAGAAGUGCUCCACAAAUAUGAAUGAAAGGAGCUUGUAUUUGAGGUAAUAGUCUAGGAAGUUUUAUUUAAGAUAUCAUCUGUGUCAAUGAAAAAUAGUACUAGACGUGUGAAUAAAGGCCACCUAUGACAUACAAAGUACUGUAAUAAAAUCGGAGGGCUGGGGAAGUGUUGGACUGGAGCCUCGCCCCCAUGCGGUAUGCUCUGUCCAAGUACGUGCUCCUGUUCGCCACAUCUGCAUACUGGAUGAAACCUGCGUGCUAAUUGCGUAUUAUGUGCAAGUCAGUAUUGAACGCUCUGUAUUAUUGUUCCAGAGAAGUAAGUUUCAACAGUUUCCGUGACAUUUCAUGUAUGUUCCAUGCAGUAGUCUAGGUGGGAAUUAUAUUGAUGAUUUCAUUUUACCUUCAUAUCUGCUGAAUUUUCUUACCAAACACAAAAGCUUUGUGUCUUGAGGUGUUGAUAGAAGUGAACAUAAUUCAUGAUACAAUCCUGAUACUCUGAAAAUAUUUUUAUGGUUCAGUAUUCCUACGAGGGGAGUGAGUAUGAGUGGAUCAACACGUGGAGCAGCUGCUGCCUAUGAGGCGAGUGAGUGGAGACGGCCUGAUCUGUGCAGCGGAGGGGCUAUAGAAGCUCGAACGAAAGAUUCGUCGCCAGCAUCGGAGCAAUUUAUUGGGCAGAUCGAUACUAAAGCUCAUGCAUGGACGUGAAGGCAUGUCUUUAUUAAGUUCAAUCUUUGGAAACUUGGCAUGUGACGCUGUGUAAAAAUAGAAGAUGCUAGAAAAUUGUCUCUGGCCAAUUUCGUAUGUAGCUGUGAGCAUUGCUAAUUUUUGUCAACAUGAAUGAUAUUUGGACUAUUUAUAUAGCUACCAUGUGCUGAACAAAUUGUCUGAUUAAUGUAACCCUCCCGAAUAGAUUGGUGUGUGUGCCAUGUCAUUUGGUCUGCGUUACACUAACAGAAUCAUUUUGUCAAUGCCCGGUCCAUUAAUACUCUUUCAAAAUUUUG